RNAcentral lists this ribosomal RNA (497 nucleotides) under uncultured bacterium. Its description in RNAcentral is "partial 16S ribosomal RNA". It matches the Rfam family "Bacterial small subunit ribosomal RNA", at positions 28 to 507 of the family's 1533-position model. The record is from RNAcentral.
GAUGAACGCUGGCGGCGUGCCUAAUACAUGCAAGUCGAGCGAGCAGACGAGGAGCUUGCUCCUCUGACGUUAGCGGCGGACGGGUGAGUAACACGUGGAUAACCUACCUAUAAGACUGGGAUAACUUCGGGAAACCGGAGCUAAUACCGGAUAAUAUAUUGAACCGCAUGGUUCAAUAGUGAAAGACGGUUUUGCUGUCACUUAUAGAUGGAUCCGCGCCGCAUUAGCUAGUUGGUAAGGUAACGGCUUACCAAGGCAACGAUGCGUAGCCGACCUGAGAGGGUGAUCGGCCACACUGGAACUGAGACACGGUCCAGACUCCUACGGGAGGCAGCAGUAGGGAAUCUUCCGCAAUGGGCGAAAGCCUGACGGGGCAACGCCGCGUGAGUGAUGAAGGUCUUCGGAUCGUAAAACUCUGUUAUUAGGGAAGAACAAAUGUGUAAGUAACUAUGCACGUCUUGACGGUACCUAAUCAGAAAGCCACGGCUAACUACGUG